CCUACGGGUGGCAGCAGUGGGGAAUAUUGCACAAUGGGCGCAAGCCUGAUGCAGCCAUGCCGCGUGUAUGAAGAAGGCCUUCGGGUUGUAAAGUACUUUCAGCGGGGAGGAAGGUGUUGAGGUUAAUAACCUCAGCAAUUGACGUUACCCGCAGAAGAAGCACCGGCUAACUCCGUGCCAGCAGCCGCGGUAAUACGGAGGGUGCAAGCGUUAAUCGGAAUUACUGGGCGUAAAGCGCACGCAGGCGGUCUGUCAAGUCGGAUGUGAAAUCCCCGGGCUCAACCUGGGAACUGCAUUCGAAACUGGCAGGCUGGAGUCUUGUAGAGGGGGGUAGAAUUCCAGGUGUAGCGGUGAAAUGCGUAGAGAUCUGGAGGAAUACCGGUGGCGAAGGCGGCCCCCUGGACAAAGACUGACGCUCAGGUGCGAAAGCGUGGGGAGCAAACAGGAUUAGAUACCCUAGUAGUC
Molecule: ribosomal RNA, 465 nt
Filed under: uncultured Enterobacter sp.
Lineage: Bacteria; Pseudomonadati; Pseudomonadota; Gammaproteobacteria; Enterobacterales; Enterobacteriaceae
Description: bacterial SSU rRNA
Rfam family: Bacterial small subunit ribosomal RNA
Source: RNAcentral